GCCAGGUGUGGUGGCUCACGCCUGUAAUCCCAGCAUUUUGGGAGGCUGAGGCGGGUGGAUCACCUGAGGUCAGGAGUUCGAGACCAGCCUGACCAACAUGGUGAAACCCUGUCUCUA
Molecule: non-coding RNA, 117 nt
Filed under: Homo sapiens (human)
Lineage: Eukaryota; Metazoa; Chordata; Mammalia; Primates; Hominidae
Source: Rfam by way of RNAcentral